Molecule: long non-coding RNA, 636 nt
Filed under: Olea europaea subsp. europaea
Lineage: Eukaryota; Viridiplantae; Streptophyta; Magnoliopsida; Lamiales; Oleaceae
Source: RNAcentral
AUGGAAUGCACUCAAUUACUAUUAGGCCAAAAAUCACACUUGGUAGCCGAAAUUACAGUGAAGGACAAAGACCACUAAACAGGCUCGACCCAUUACUUGACCUAUUAUUAUUACAUAUAUAUAGGUUUGUGUCCUUUGUGCUCUGAUACAAUACACAACUUCCUCCGCAUUAUUAUUUAGACUUGGUUGCGCCUUUUUUCUUCCUUGGCUCUUACUUCGUGGCUAUCUUUUUUUUCUGCCUCUUUGUGAUUGCCUUCUUUGCUCCUUACCGUCGGCACUUGGCCAGGAUUGUACCUCUGUCUGUGUGUGUUUUUACCCCCUGUUGCUGCUCUGUUUUGCCCCUAUUCGAUCGCCUCUGUGAGUGGUCUUCUAUUGUAAUCCAUUUGAGUGGGUAAUCUUGGUCCAAUUUGUGUGGUGCUGUGUGAUUAUAGGCUCGUGAUCUGAGCUCUAUCCAUCCACUUUUGGUGCCAAUCCAUUGCAGCUUGAUGGAUAUUGAAUAGUUAACUAACUUUGUGUGGUUAAUUGAUUGAUAGGCGUUUUUCUCACUACACAAGGAACUUUAUGUAUAUCGAGAAUAAUAUUUGUUUAUUUGUCAUUUUAUUGGUGUCUCUUACCAUUGACGUUAUUGUCGUUGGU